RNAcentral lists this ribosomal RNA (253 nucleotides) under uncultured bacterium. RNAcentral describes it as "partial 16S ribosomal RNA". It matches the Rfam family "Bacterial small subunit ribosomal RNA", at positions 524 to 776 of the family's 1533-position model. The record is from RNAcentral.
UACGGAGGGUCCAAGCGUUAUCCGGAAUCAUUGGGUUUAAAGGGUCCGUAGGCGGUUUUGUAAGUCAGUGGUGAAAGCCCAUCGCUCAACGGUGGAACGGCCAUUGAUACUGCAAGACUUGAAUUAUUAGGAAGCAACUAGAAUAUGUAGUGUAGCGGUGAAAUGCGCAGAUAUCGGGAGGAACACCAAUUGCGAAGGCAGCUUGCUGGGACGGUACUGACGCUGAGGCGCGAAAGCGUGGGGAGCAAACAGG